AGUGAACGCUGGCGGUAGGCCUAACACAUGCAAGUCGAACGGCAGCACAGUAAGAGCUUGCUCUUACGGGUGGCGAGUGGCGGACGGGUGAGGAAUACAUCGGAAUCUACUUUUUCGUGGGGGAUAACGUAGGGAAACUUACGCUAAUACCGCAUACGACCUACGGGUGAAAGCAGGGGAUCUUCGGACCUUGCGCGAUUGAAUGAGCCGAUGUCGGAUUAGCUAGUUGGCGGGGUAAAGGCCCACCAAGGCGAGGAUCCGUAGCCGGUCUGAGAGGAUGGUCGGCCACACUGGAACUGACACGCGGUCCAGACUCCUACGGGAGGCAGCAGUGGGGAAUAGUGGACAAUGGGCGCAAGCCUGGUCCAGCCAUACCGCGUGGGUGAAGAAGGCCUUCGGGUUGUAAAGCCCUUUUGUUGGGAAAGAAAAGCAGCAGGUUAAUACCCCGCUGUUCUGACGGUACCCAAAGAAUAAGCACCGGCUAACUUCGUG
This 492-nucleotide ribosomal RNA is filed under the name uncultured bacterium. RNAcentral's name for it is "partial 16S ribosomal RNA". It matches the Rfam family "Bacterial small subunit ribosomal RNA", at positions 29 to 507 of the family's 1533-position model. The record is from RNAcentral.